Molecule: unclassified non-coding RNA, 219 nt
Filed under: uncultured Basidiomycota
Lineage: Eukaryota; Fungi; Basidiomycota
Description: sequence contains ITS1
Source: RNAcentral
CUGAAGAAAUGGCAUAGUUGAGCUGGCUCCUCGGAGCAUCGUGCUCGCUCUGUCGCUUUUUCUAACUUUCCACUGUGCACCUUAUGUAGGCUUGUGUAUGGACCAGUAGAAAAGGUUCGUCCCUUUCGAACGCUCUUCACAGGCCUAUGCCCUAUACAUACUCUAUAAAGUCUAUGAAUGUCUUUAUUGUUGGUCUUGACCGACCGAUAGAAAGUAAUA